RNAcentral lists this ribosomal RNA (702 nucleotides) under Triticum aestivum (bread wheat). RNAcentral's name for it is "partial small subunit ribosomal RNA". The record is from RNAcentral. Lineage: Eukaryota; Viridiplantae; Streptophyta; Magnoliopsida; Poales; Poaceae.
AUGAUCAUUCAGAACCACAAAAACUGCUAUGUUGACACUUUUUCCUUCCUUUUUCAGACCAUAGCACUAGUUGGAGAAAGUGGUAGUGGCAAGUCCACUAUAAUUGCUUUACUGGAACGCUUCUAUGAUCCUGAUUCUGGUAGAAUCUCAGUAGAUGGAGUCGAAAUUAAGAGCUUGAGAAUUAGCUGGUUGAGGGAUCAGAUGGGGCUGGUAGGCCAGGAGCCAGUACUUUUCAAUGACACAAUCCGUGCAAACAUAACAUAUGGGAAACACGGAGAAGUGACAGAGGAAGAAGUCACGGCUGUGGCCAAGGCAGCAAAUGCUCAUGAGUUCAUAUCAAGCUUGCCACAGGGAUACGACACUCUGGUUGGUGAGAAAGGCGUGCAACUAUCUGGUGGACAGAAGCAGAGGGUAGCUAUCGCAAGGGCCAUUAUAAAGGACCCGAAGAUACUACUACUUGAUGAGGCAACCAGUGCCCUGGAUGCGGAAUCGGAGCACAUUGUUCAAGAUGCAUUGGAUCGAGUCAUGGUGAGCAGGACCACCAUAGUGGUGGCUCACCGCCUCUCCACAAUCAAAGGGGCUGAUAUGAUUGCAGUCCUCAAGGAAGGCAAAAUUGCAGAAAAGGGCAAGCAUGAGGCCCUGAUGCGAAUCAAGGGUGGAGUCUAUGCUUCACUAGUAGAACUCCGCUCAAAUUCCGAGUAG